This 253-nucleotide ribosomal RNA is filed under the name uncultured bacterium. RNAcentral describes it as "partial 16S ribosomal RNA". It matches the Rfam family "Bacterial small subunit ribosomal RNA", at positions 524 to 776 of the family's 1533-position model. The record is from RNAcentral.
UACGUAGGGUGCGAGCGUUACUCGGAAUUACUGGGCGUAAAGCGUGCGCAGGCGGCUUUGCAAGACAGAUGUGAAAUCCCCGGGCUUAACCUGGGAACUGCAUUUGUGACUGCAUGGCUAGAGUGCGGCAGAGGGGGAUGGAAUUCCGCGUGUAGCAGUGAAAUGCGUAGAUAUGCGGAGGAACACCGAUGGCGAAGGCAAUCCCCUGGGCCUGCACUGACGCUCAUGCACGAAAGCGUGGGGAGCAAACAGG